AUGCAAUCUGCCAAGGAGCUCGUCCUCCGCUGCCUAUGGCUCUGCACGGAGGCGGAAGCCGAGCCCGAUCACGCCCUCGCCGCCAGCGACGGCCUGCAGGCGUUCGCCCCCGCCGCCAGCGAGGGCCUGCAGGCGUUCGCCCUCGGCCUGAACAAGCGCCUCGCCGACGACGACGCCGGCAGGAGCGGCAACCUGGUCACGUCGCCGCUGUCCGUCUACGCGGCGCUGGCGCUGGUAGCCGCCGGCGCCCGCGAGGGCACCCUCGACGAGCUGCUCCGCGUCCUUGGCGCGCCUUCCCGGGACUUCCUCGCCGGCCACGUCCGCGCGCUGGCAGAGCAUGCCCUCGCCGACGGGUCCCGGACGGGCGGCCCGCGCGUCAGCUUCGCCUGCAGCGUGUGGCACGACGUGACGAUGCCCCUCCGCCCCGCCUACCGCGCCACCGCCGCCGAGUCGUACAAGGCCGUCGCCUGCGCCGUCAACUUCCUCCAAAAGCCGGAGGAGGCAAGGGAGCAGAUCAACGCAUGGGUGGCGGCUGCGACGAACGACCUCAUCCCCUCCAUCCUCAGCCCCGACGCGCUGUCCAGCCGCACCGUCCUGGUGCUCGCUAACGCCAUCUACUUCAAGGGCAUGUGGGCGAAGCCGUUCGACAAGGAGCUCACCAAGGACGACAAGUUCCACCGCCUCGACGGCACCGCCGUGGACGCGCCCUUCGUGCGCGGCUUGGGCUGGCACGACAUCGCCUGCCACGACGGCUUCAAGGUGCUCCAGCUCCGCUACGUGCAAGGCCACUCCUCGCAGGGCCAGCCGCCGAUCUACUCGAUGUGUGUCUUCCUCCCCGACGCACGCGACGGGCUGUGGGAGCUCACCGACAAGAUCGCCUGCAACCCCGACUUUGUGCGCAAGCACCUGCCGUGUGGCGAUGUCAUGGUCAGCGAUUUCCGGCUGCCUAAAUUCAAGGUCAACUUUGGCAUGAAAAUGGAGGGCAUUCUCCAGGACAUGGGCCUCAACGAGGCGUUCGAGCCGGGGAAGGCCGACUUGUCCGACAUGGCGGAAGACGGCGCAAGGAAGCUGGCGCUGGAGAAAGUAAUCCACAGGGCCGUCAUCGAGGUGAACGAGGAAGGCACCGAGGCCGCGGCUGCCACCGUUGAGACUGUGACGUUAUGUUCUUGGAAAACUAGUGAUGCGCCGCAUGUGGACUUCGUGGCUGACCAUCCGUUUGGCUUCUUCGUCAUCGAGGAGGUGUCCGGUGCUACCCUGUUCGCGGGGCACGUCCUUGACCCCACGACCAACUGA
Molecule: ribosomal RNA, 1293 nt
Filed under: Triticum aestivum (bread wheat)
Lineage: Eukaryota; Viridiplantae; Streptophyta; Magnoliopsida; Poales; Poaceae
Description: partial small subunit ribosomal RNA
Source: RNAcentral